GAUGAACGCUGUCUACAGGCUUAACACAUGCAAGUCGAGGGGAAACGACGGGGAAGCUUGCUUCCCCGGGCGUCGACCGGCGCACGGGUGAGUAACGCGUAUCCAACCUGCCUCUGACUGAGGGAUAACCCGUCGAAAGUCGGCCUAAUACCUCAUGGCAUCGUCUGCGGGCAUCCAACGACGAUUAAAGAUUUCAUCGGUCAGGGAUGGGGAUGCGUCUGAUUAGCUUGUUGGCGGGGUAACGGCCCACCAAGGCUACGAUCAGUAGGGGUUCUGAGAGGAAGGUCCCCCACAUUGGAACUGAGACACGGUCCAAACUCAUACGGGAGGCAGCAGUGAGGAAUAUUGGUCAAGGGGCGGGAGCCUGAACCAGCCAAGUAGCGUGCAGGAGGACGGCCAUAGGGGUUGUAAACUGCUUUUAUGCGGGGAUAAAGUGAGGGACGUGUCCUUCAUUGCAGGUACCGCAUGAAUAAGGACCGGCUAAUUCCGUG
This 491-nucleotide ribosomal RNA is filed under the name uncultured bacterium. RNAcentral's name for it is "partial 16S ribosomal RNA". It matches the Rfam family "Bacterial small subunit ribosomal RNA", at positions 28 to 507 of the family's 1533-position model. The record is from RNAcentral.